UUGACCUCGGAUCAGGUAGGAAUACCCGCUGAACUUAAGCAUAUCAAUAAGCGGAGGAAAAGAAACCAACAGGGAUUGCCUCAGUAACGGCGAGUGAAGCGGCAACAGCUCAAAUUUGAAAUCUGGCUCCUUCGGGGCCCGAGUUGUAAUUUGCAGAGGAUGCUUCGGGUACGGGUUCCUUCCGAGUUCCCUGGAACGGGACGCCAUAGAGGGUGAGAGCCCCGUCUGGUAGGACACCCAGCCCGUGUGAAGCUCCCUCGACGAGUCGAGUAGUUUGGGAAUGCUGCUCUAACGGGAGGUAUACUCCUUCCAAGGCUAAAUACCGGCUGGAGACCGAUAGCGCACAAGUAGAGUGAUCGAAAGAUGAAAAGCACUUUGAAAAGAGAGUCAAAUAGCACGUGAAAUUGUUGAAAGGGAAGCGCUCGCUACCAGACAUGGGUUCGGCGGUUCAACCGGGGCCACGCCCCGGGGCACUCCGCCGGCCCAGGCCAGCAUCAGCUUUCCGUCGGGGGCAAAGGCGUCGGGAAUGUGGCUCUCCUUCGGGGGAGUGUUAUAGCCCGGCGUGUCAUACCCU
RNAcentral lists this ribosomal RNA (574 nucleotides) under Gibellulopsis serrae. Its description in RNAcentral is "partial 28S ribosomal RNA". It matches the Rfam family "Eukaryotic large subunit ribosomal RNA", at positions 1 to 581 of the family's 3401-position model. Lineage: Eukaryota; Fungi; Ascomycota; Sordariomycetes; Glomerellales; Plectosphaerellaceae. The record is from RNAcentral.